Molecule: ribosomal RNA, 253 nt
Filed under: uncultured bacterium
Lineage: Bacteria
Description: partial 16S ribosomal RNA
Rfam family: Bacterial small subunit ribosomal RNA
Source: RNAcentral
UACGGAGGGGACUAGCGUUGUUCGGAAUUACUGGGCGUAAAGCGCGCGUAGGCGGAUUUGCAAGUCGGGGGUGAAAUCCCGAGGCUCAACCUCGGAACUGCCUUCGAUACUGCAAAUCUCGAGUCCGGAAGAGGUGAGUGGAGUUCCUAGUGUAGAGGUGAAAUUCGUAGAUAUUAGGAAGAACACCAGUGGCGAAGGCGGCUCACUGGUCCGGUACUGACGCUGAGGCGCGAAAGCGUGGGGAGCAAACAGG